Long non-coding RNA from Ipomoea nil (Japanese morning glory), 1593 nucleotides. RefSeq lists it as uncharacterized. The transcript is spliced from 9 exons. NCBI's taxonomy places the organism in Eukaryota, Viridiplantae, Streptophyta, Magnoliopsida, Solanales, Convolvulaceae. The record is from RefSeq and is a predicted model, not a curated record.
UAACAUGACCCUCAUUUCAUUUCAUUUCCGCCCUACAGCUGUUCUCACUCCUCUCCUAAAAUAGCUCUCGCAUCUGUCACUCACCUAGACUACCAUCGCCGCUCAGCUCUGUUCAUCGCUCAGUCUUCUCCGUCUGCCCCUCAGCUGUUCUCAGUCCAACGCUUCGAAUCCUCCAUUCGACGAUGGUUUCCUGAAUCCGUCUGCUGACAACGGCUCGACGAUCUUCGUUUCGCCGCCAAUCUACGCUUCUAGAGGCUCCUCCGAUCCGAUGAGAAGCCGUUCGUAGAUGCUUUUGCGACUUCUAAUGCACCAGUUCUGCCGCCGCCAUCGGAAAUGCAAGAGGAAGGAUUUGCUCUCAGGGAAUGGAGAAGGUUAGGCAUUUCUACUGUCUUAUUGAUUUAUUCGCUGAUCUGUUGCAUACUCACAUCCAUUUCACUUCUCUGAACUGAUUUUGUCUAGAUUUCUUUUAGGAUUGAAAUUUUAUACCGAUUAUCUGUCUGAACUUAUUUAGCUUACUGCUUUAUUUAAGAUUUGAAUUUAUUUACUUUGUUCUGCAGAAAUUUUACUUCUCUAGUUGUUUGUUUAUGUUAUAUGAACUUUUGUCCAAGAGGAAGCGAAGCAGGGGUGGCCUCACCGCUACCAGUAGGGCACUGAGAAAUCAAAUGGUGGAAUUAGUAGUAUAACUAGGUAAAUUUCCUCUGCCGCCAAGAUGAAUCUUCUGGGGUGCUUCAGGCUAAGAGACAUUUUACAGCAGCAAAAGUUGAUGGCCUGGUUUAUAAGCUUGGGGGUGAUGCUUAUGUUAAGAUGUUCCAGUCUUCCAGAUGGCCCUCUCCCGGAUCCUCCAAUGAUGGUCUACUUUUGCUCCUAAUGUCGAGGAAAAUGCAUUUUGGCUAAUGUUGGAGAUGGAACCAUAAUUAUGAAUAACCUCCUCCAGAAAAUAUGGUUCUUGAGAAACUGGGGGGAAUCCAUUAUGAACACUCGGUUCGUUGCUCUCAUGAAGUGAAAGCUGCUAACCAAACGAAUCAAAUAUCAGCGUCUUGUAUCAUGCUGGUUCAGCACUAUAGUGGUGCUAUAGUGGGCACCUACUGAAUUGCGGAAUGAUUCUCACGCCUCGAAUGGUCCUGCUCAGUUGACAUCUUUUAUGCUGGUUCGGUUUCUGUUUACUCCAAAUGUAUCUCCCGAAAAGAUUGAAGGAAGCUUUGUUGUAAUUUUGGGUUCAGGUUCAGAUCCUUCAGAAUGAAAAGGAAAAAGUUCUGGAGGAAUCGGUGAGAAGCCUUGAUGAGAAGUUAACAUCUGCUCUCGAUGAGUGCAACGCUAAAGAUGAAUUACUCACAAAGUUCACAAAAAUGGCGGAAGAAGCCAUUGCAGCUCACAAGAAAGCGGAGGCUGAAAUUAUGUGUUUGAAGGAAGAGUUAGAAGAAUCUAUAAAGCAGAGAGAAGCUGCAAAUGGAAGGCUAACUCACCUUAACAGUGCAUUGAAGGAUUGUAUGCAGAAAUUAACUUUCAGCAAAGAAGAAAUGGAGCAAAGAGUACGCGAUACUGUAAUGAGGACAGGAUUCGAGAAGGCCCAUAAUAUAUAUAUAUAUAUAUAUA